Molecule: ribosomal RNA, 491 nt
Filed under: uncultured bacterium
Lineage: Bacteria
Description: partial 16S ribosomal RNA
Rfam family: Bacterial small subunit ribosomal RNA
Source: RNAcentral
GUGAACGCUGGCGGUAGGCCUAACACCUGCAAGUCGAACGGCAGCACAGUAAGAGCUUGCUCUUACGGGUGGCGAGUGGCGGACAGGUGAGGAAUACAUCGGAAUCUACUUUUUCGUGGGGGAUAACGUAGGGAAACUUACGCUAAUACCGCAUACGACCUACGAGUGAAAGCAGGGGAUCUUCGGACCUUGCGCGAUUGAAUGAGCCGAUGUCGGAUUAGCUAGUUGGCGGGGUAAAGGCCCACCAAGGCGACGAUCCGUAGCUGGUCUGAGAGGAUGAUCAGCCACACUGGAACUGAGACACGGUCCAGACUCCUACGGGAGGCAGCAGUGGGGAAUAUUGGACAAUGGGCGCAAGCCUGAUCCAGCCAUACCGCGUGGGUGAAGAAGGCCUUCGGGUUGUAAAGCCCUUUUGUUGGGAAAGAAAAGCAGCAGGUUAAUACCCCGCUGUUCUGACGGUACCCAAAGAAUAAGCACCGGCUAACUUCGUG